UACGGAGGGGGCUAGCGUUGUUCGGAAUUACUGGGCGUAAAGCGCACGUAGGCGGAUUGCUAAGUCAGGGGUGAAAUCCUGGAGCUCAACUCCAGAACUGCCUUUGAUACUGGCGACCUUGAGUCCGGGAGAGGUGAGUGGAACUGCGAGUGUAGAGGUGAAAUUCGUAGAUAUUCGCAAGAACACCAGUGGCGAAGGCGGCGACCUGGUUCAUUACUGACGCUGAGACGCGAAAGCGUGGGGAGCAAACAGG
This 253-nucleotide ribosomal RNA is filed under the name uncultured bacterium. Its description in RNAcentral is "partial 16S ribosomal RNA". It matches the Rfam family "Bacterial small subunit ribosomal RNA", at positions 524 to 776 of the family's 1533-position model. The record is from RNAcentral.